GAUGAACGCUGGCGGCGUGCCUAAUACAUGCAAGUCGAGCGAAUGGAUUAAGAGCUUGCUCUUAUGAAGUUAGCGGCGGACGGGUGAGUAACACGUGGGUAACCUGCCCAUAAGACUGGGAUAACUCCGGGAAACCGGGGCUAAUACCGGAUAACAUUUUGAACCGCAUGGCUCGAAAUUGAAAGGCGGCUUCGGCUGUCACUUAUGGAUGGACCCGCGUCGCAUUAGCUAGUUGGUGAGGUAACGGCUCACCAAGGCAACGAUGCGUAGCCGGCGUGAGUGGGGAAUCGGCCACGCUAGGACGGAGACACGGCCCAGACUCCUAAGGGAGGCAGCAGUAGGGAAUCUUCCGCAAUGGACGAAGGUCUGACGGGGCAACGCCGCGUGAGUGAUGAAGGCUUUCGGGUCGUAAAACUCUGUUGUUAGGGAAGAACAAGUGCUAGUUGAAUAAGCUGGCACCUUGACGGUACCUAACCAGAAAGCCACGGCUAACUACGUGCCAGCCGCCGCCGUAA
This 515-nucleotide ribosomal RNA is filed under the name uncultured bacterium. Its description in RNAcentral is "partial 16S ribosomal RNA". It matches the Rfam family "Bacterial small subunit ribosomal RNA", at positions 28 to 523 of the family's 1533-position model. The record is from RNAcentral.